This 497-nucleotide ribosomal RNA is filed under the name uncultured bacterium. RNAcentral describes it as "partial 16S ribosomal RNA". It matches the Rfam family "Bacterial small subunit ribosomal RNA", at positions 28 to 507 of the family's 1533-position model. The record is from RNAcentral.
GAUGAACGCUGGCGGCGUGCCUAAUACAUGCAAGUCGAGCGAACAGACGAGGAGCUUGCUCCUCUGACGUUAGCGGCGGACGGGUGAGUAACACGUGGAUAACCUACCUAUAAGACUGGGAUAACUUCGGGAAACCGGAGCUAAUACCGGAUAAUAUAUUGAACCGCAUGGUUCAAUAGUGAAAGACGGUUUUGCUGUCACUUAUAGAUGGAUCCGCGCCGCAUUAGCUAGUUGGUAAGGUAACGGCUUACCAAGGCAACGAUGCGUAGCCGACCUGAGAGGGGGAUCGGCCACACGGGAACUGAGACACGGUCCAGACUCCUACGGGAGGCACCAGUAGGGAAUCUUCCGCAAUGGGCGAAAGCCUGACGGAGCAAGGCCGCGUGAGUGAUGAAGGUCUUCGGAUCGUAAAACUCUGUUAUUAGGGAAGAACAAAUGUGUAAGUAACUAUGCACGUCUUGACGGUACCUGAUCAAAAAGCCCCGGCUAACUACGUG